GAGGGCUGCAGAGAUGCUGAUUGACACUCUGGGGCCGGCCAUUGUCAACGCCACUGACACCAAGAACCGGACCCCCCCUGCAUGCGGCGGCUUUCACGGACCACGUGGAGUGUCUUCAGCUGCUGCUAGGCCACAACGCCCAGGUCAACUCCCCCGAUGCCUCCCGG
Molecule: long non-coding RNA, 167 nt
Organism: Coregonus clupeaformis (lake whitefish)
Lineage: Eukaryota; Metazoa; Chordata; Actinopteri; Salmoniformes; Salmonidae
Exons: 2
Source: RefSeq, a predicted model, not a curated record